This 30-nucleotide non-coding RNA is filed under the name Mus musculus (house mouse). Lineage: Eukaryota; Metazoa; Chordata; Mammalia; Rodentia; Muridae. The record is from RNAcentral.
UAGGAAACAUUCUUUCACCUGUGUCUGCUU